GACGUAGGGCGCGAGCGUUGUCCGGAUUUAUUGGGCGUAAAGAGCUCGUAGGCGGCUUGUCGCGUCGACUGUGAAAACCCGUGACUCAACUGCGGGCCUGCAGUCGAUACGGGCAGGCUAGAGUUCGGUAGGGGAGACUGGAAUUCCUGGUGUAGCGGUGAAAUGCGCAGAUAUCAGGAGGAACACCGGUGGCGAAGGCGGGUCUCUGGGCCGAUACUGACGCUGAGGAGCGAAAGCGUGGGGAGCGAACAGG
This 253-nucleotide ribosomal RNA is filed under the name uncultured bacterium. RNAcentral describes it as "partial 16S ribosomal RNA". It matches the Rfam family "Bacterial small subunit ribosomal RNA", at positions 524 to 776 of the family's 1533-position model. The record is from RNAcentral.